Long non-coding RNA from Rhagoletis pomonella (apple maggot), 1380 nucleotides. RefSeq lists it as uncharacterized. The transcript is spliced from 4 exons. NCBI's taxonomy places the organism in Eukaryota, Metazoa, Arthropoda, Insecta, Diptera, Tephritidae. The record is from RefSeq and is a predicted model, not a curated record.
AUAUGUGAACAUAUUACCUCGUAGGAUUGUGUCAACCAGUCUAAGUUUGUUUAUUGGAUAUCUCUCAUAUUCCGUCCCAGUUAAACUGCAGCAAUGCCUCGUCCAAAAAUAAAUGUUUAAUAACGCUGGCUACGUCCUCAGACACACCUUUUAUUUUUAUGAUAUAAGUGACCUUUUGAAAAAUUUAUGCACAGCAAUUAGAACGUGAAAUAUUUAUUCCAUAAUAUGAUUCAUUACUGUAAGGCACUCGGGGUUGCAGGAGCUGGUUUCUGUAAACAGCCUUAAGUAAUAUCGUAAUAGAGUGUGUAAUAUCGUAAUAGUUCUUAAGUGAUGUGUCUAGGCCUUAAGUAAUGCAACUAGUUUUUAAGCUAUGUGUUUCAACCUUAAAAGGCUUAUCACACGGUAUGUAUUUUACACGUGCACAGCUACUUUUUCGUAGCAUAUAUAAUCCAUUAUGGCUGUCAAAAUUUAAAUUUCGUGCUAUCUGUUAUUGUGUCUACACGACAUGUAACAGCUUGUGUGUGUCACUUCUCUAACACAGCUGACUGAUAUAAAUUCUUUGGUUGAAAAGUAAAAGUAAAAAUGAAUGAAAAUAAUAAAAAAAAUUGCUCUGUGCAGCUCCAUGAUGAUUGCAAUCGCUUUAAUAAUCAAAAAACGUAUAAAGGAAUAAGCAGGGAAGCGAGUUCUCUGUGGAGAGAAAAUUGGCUAUUGUGUAGAGAUGCUUCCCAAGGAUUUCCUUGCAUGGCCAUAAACGAAAUUCUGCCGGAGGAUCCCAAAGCGUUCCGAAAUUUCGGGCGAAUGACAAAGGAAACGUUCUGCAGCAGGUUGCUCCCCUAAUUGCAAAGCAGGACACAAAUAUACGGGAAGCUAUUUCUCCAACUGCCAGGUUGCUUGACACUCUCCGGUGUUUAGCGACUGGCGAAAGAUUCCACCAAUUAGCGUAUGGAUUUCGAAUAUCUCAGGCCGCGAUUUCACUGAUUAUCCCUAAGACACUACGAGCUAUCUAUUCAGUUUUAGAAAAUGUUUCUUGAAGGUACCAAACACCCCAACUGAUUGGCGAAAUAUAGCAAAGGAAAUAUGAAAUGGAAUUUUCCUCAGUGUUUGGGUGCCAUUGAUGGCAAACAUAUUGCUAUUGCCAUCAGGCAGAAAUAUGGCUCGUACUGUUAUAACUACAAAGGUUUCCACAGCAUCAAAUUGCUGGCUGUGGUAGACGCAAAUUACCAAUUUCUUUGCGUUAACGUUGGAACCAAUGGGCGAGCAAACUACGCCGCUGCGUUUAAUGAAUCAUCGCUUUGUGAAGGUAUCAAAAAAAAUGCAUUUAAUUUCCCAGACGACAAAGUGCUACUGCUACCUAUAAAAAAUUGCCGUUUGUGUUCGUGG